Molecule: long non-coding RNA, 232 nt
Organism: Thalassophryne amazonica
Lineage: Eukaryota; Metazoa; Chordata; Actinopteri; Batrachoidiformes; Batrachoididae
Exons: 4
Source: RefSeq, a predicted model, not a curated record
GGUCAAAGGUCAGUUUCAGUCAGUCCAGGGGUCAAAAGUUAAAGUAGCUCCAGUGUUUGUAAAAAGUGAUGCAUAUUAUUGGUUGAGUUAACUGGGAUUUUAAAAGGAUUAGUUUGCAGCAUCUGACAUGCUUAGUUGUCAAGUUACAAGGUAACAUAUGUCACAUGUCAUACAAUCUAACGGUCGUCAGCCUUGUUUGACCUUUACUUGAGACCAAACAUUCAACAUGUUC